CCACCGGUCCGGCCCCUCGGAGCAGCCUCCGAGGGGCCGUUUCCUUGCCCUAUUCCCCUUCCGCCGCCGUCUCGU
This 75-nucleotide transfer RNA is filed under the name Streptomyces hygroscopicus subsp. jinggangensis TL01. RNAcentral's name for it is "tRNA-Val". The record is from RNAcentral. Lineage: Bacteria; Bacillati; Actinomycetota; Actinomycetes; Kitasatosporales; Streptomycetaceae.